AAAGAGACGUUAGGAGAAGCACUGAAUUAUGGAGAUGGGAUCGGACGGCUAGUGGGAUGAAGAGGCUGGGGAAAUAGAAUGAAUAGACAGAGUAAAUGAUUGACUUCAACUAUCCAAAAUAUAAAAAAGACAAGACAGAGAAAAUGAGGAAGAAAAGGAAUGAACCUGGAUGGGAUCCAUACAGUAUUAAGAACAGGGUACUAUUUCAUUUGGAUUCACUGACUCAAAACAAAACAAAACUACAGAGUACUCUGCGAAUCAGAAGAUAAGGAUUCAGUAUAUAGCGAGACACCUACAAUCUCUGCAUUCACUAUAGUUACCUAGCACUUGAAGAUAUUGAACGGAAAAUAUUGAGAAAAAUGCUAUUAUAUGGGAAGUGCAUUGGAGCACAUGGUAGGAGUAUCUAAUUAAAAGUCCAGAAGGAGUCAGGAACAAUUUUCUUGGAGGAAGGGAUGUUUAAACUGAAACCUGAGUGUUGAAUAGAUUUAAAACAGGUCAAGAGGGGUGACAUUUUCCAGGUAGAAGGUCCAAAUCCGUGUAACAGCUGUGUAAAAUGCCAAGCGUUGGGUCUGUUAUUAUGAAGGGCUUAGUUGGCCGUUAGGGCACUGGUCAGAUUUGUAUUGAAAGAUCUUUGGAUAAAGGAGGUAGGAUUGGGAGGGAAGAUACAGAGUCACGAGAUUUGGAAGCUGUUUAGGAAAUCCAGUUGAGAAAGAAAUGAUCGUAGCCUUGAUACCUCAUUAUUCUAUUUUGGCUAGGUGGAGUUAAGAAAACAGAAGAGAAAGGCAAUUUUUUGUGCAUUGUAAAUAAAAAGAAUUUGGGGAGUGACUAGAGACAGAAGAUAAAGAGAACAUAGCUUAACAGUUAACAACGAUGUGCUUGAAGAGUGUUUAGAAAUGUGAAGAUGACUAUCUAGCCCAGCAUACACACCUGUAAUCCCAGCUACUUGUGAGGCUGGAGUGCAGUGGCUACAUCACAGUUCACUGCAGCCUGGAGUAUCUAUUCUCAACCAGACCUCCCACCUCAGCUUCCUGAGUAGCUGUGACUACAGGCGCACGCCACCAUGUCCGGCUAACUUUUGUAUUUUUUGUAGAGAGGGGGUUUCACCAUAUUGCCCUGGUUGGUCUCCAACUCCAGAGCUCAAGUGAUCCACCCUCCUGGGCUUCCCAAAGUUUUGGUAUUACAGGAGUAAGCCACUGCACCUGGCUGUUUUUUAAUAUUUCUCUGAUGUCAGUAAACUCCCCUUCAUUCCUCUUCUUUCCACAUCUUGAAAAAAGGCUUCUACAGACCACAGAGGCCUUGGUGUGAGUGGUGGGUUUGGAUGUAGUUUUUAUGGCAUAUGUGUGGAAAAUAGAGGGAAGGAGCUGAGUUUUGCAUUUAGAUUGAUACUAAGAUAAAAACAAAGAGCCAUACCUUCAGAAUGGAGACACAAGAUUUAGGAGCAGCAGGAAGUUGAAGUCAGAGGGGACCAUAAAAUGGCAACUCACCAUGUAUUCAUGGAAAUUUUGUGUAGGGCAGUAGACUGUUCCAAAGGGGGAAAUAGAAGCUCAAUAUUGUAAGGGGUAGAGGCACAAGCAGUUAAUUGGGUAAUAGUUUGAAAUUUAGGGACUGGCUUUAAAAAAUCUCUAAUCUAUGAAACAGGGUGAAUUGAAGACCUUUUAAAUACCACUAAAAUAACAAUCAGAAUUUUUUAUUGAAGUAUAAACAUAAAAUUAACAAACUAACACAAAAAAUUAGCCGGGCGAGGUGGCGGCGCCUGUGGUCCCAGCUACUCGGGAGGCUGAGGCAGGAGAAUGGCGGGAACCCGGGAGGCGGAGCUUGCAGUGAGCUGAGAUCUGGCCACUGCACUCCAGCCUGGUGACAGAGCGAGACUCCGUCUCAAAAAAAAAAAAAAAAAAAA
Molecule: long non-coding RNA, 1897 nt
Organism: Macaca fascicularis (crab-eating macaque)
Lineage: Eukaryota; Metazoa; Chordata; Mammalia; Primates; Cercopithecidae
Source: Ensembl